This 75-nucleotide microRNA precursor is filed under the name Myotis lucifugus (little brown bat). RNAcentral's name for it is "mir-9229 microRNA precursor family". It matches the Rfam family "mir-9229 microRNA precursor family". Lineage: Eukaryota; Metazoa; Chordata; Mammalia; Chiroptera; Vespertilionidae. The record is from Rfam by way of RNAcentral.
GAGACACCCUUAAGGGGCAGAACUUGCUUCAGUGGGCUUUGGUGCUCACUGAGUCUGCCCCUUGAGUGUGUUGCU